This 73-nucleotide transfer RNA is filed under the name Sphenostylis stenocarpa. RNAcentral's name for it is "tRNA gene-AYBTSS11_LOCUS8894". It matches the Rfam family "tRNA". From Rfam's summary of the family: Transfer RNA (tRNA) molecules are approximately 80 nucleotides in length. Their secondary structure includes four short double-helical elements and three loops (D, anti-codon, and T loops). The record is from RNAcentral. Lineage: Eukaryota; Viridiplantae; Streptophyta; Magnoliopsida; Fabales; Fabaceae.
AUUCUAGUAGCUUAGUGGUUGGAGUAUCAGUCUCCAACUCUAAAGUACUCGGGUUUGAAUCCCGCCAAUGAUA